Cynocephalus volans (Philippine flying lemur) is the source of this 108-nucleotide small nuclear RNA. NCBI's taxonomy places the organism in Eukaryota, Metazoa, Chordata, Mammalia, Dermoptera, Cynocephalidae. The record is from RefSeq and is a predicted model, not a curated record.
GUGCUCUCUUUGGCAGCAUGGAUACUAAAAAGUGCAACUAUACAGAGAAGAUGAGCAUGGCCCCUUUGCAAGGAUGACACGCAAAUUCGUAAAGCGUUCCAUAUUAUU